AUUGCCUUAGUAGCGGCGAGUGAAGCGGCAAAAGCUCAAAUUUGAAAUCUGGCGCCUUCGGUGUCCGAGUUGUAAUUUGAAGAUUGUAACCUUGGGGUUGGCUCUUGUCUAUGUUUCUUGGAACAGGACGUCACAGAGGGUGAGAAUCCCGUGCGAUGAGAUGCCCAAUCCUAUGUAAGGUGCUUUCGAAGAGUCGAGUUGUUUGGGAAUGCAGCUCUAAGUGGGUGGUAAAUUCCAUCUAAAGCUAAAUAUUGGCGAGAGACCGAUAGCGAACAAGUACAGUGAUGGAAAGAUGAAAAGAACUUUGAAAAGAGAGUGAAAAAGUACGUGAAAUUGUUGAAAGGGAAGGGUUUGAGAUCAGACUCGAUAUUUUGUGAGCCUUGCCUUCGUGGCGGGGUGACCCGCAGCUUAUCGGGCCAGCAUCGGUUUGGGCGGUAGGAUAAUGGCGUAGGAAUGUGACUUUGCUUCGGUGAAGUGUUAUAGCCUGCGUUGAUGCUGCCUGCCUAGACCGAGGACUGCGAUUUUAUCAAGGAUGCUG
This 538-nucleotide ribosomal RNA is filed under the name Meyerozyma guilliermondii. Its description in RNAcentral is "LSU rRNA". It matches the Rfam family "Eukaryotic large subunit ribosomal RNA", at positions 74 to 628 of the family's 3401-position model. The record is from RNAcentral. Lineage: Eukaryota; Fungi; Ascomycota; Pichiomycetes; Serinales; Debaryomycetaceae.